Molecule: ribosomal RNA, 909 nt
Filed under: uncultured organism
Description: bacterial SSU rRNA
Rfam family: Bacterial small subunit ribosomal RNA
Source: RNAcentral
UAACACAUGCAAGUCGAACGCAACCUUCGGGUUGAGUGGCGGACGGGUGAGUAACGCGUGAGAAUCUGCCUUGGGGUCGGGGACAACCACUGGAAACGGUGGCUAAUACCGGAUAAGCCUUUGGGUAAAAGAUUUAUUGCCCCAAGAGGAGCUCGCGUCUGAUUAGCUAGUUGGUGAGGUAAAAGCUCACCAAGGCAGCGAUCAGUAGCUGGUCUGAGAGGACGAUCAGCCACACUGGGACUGAGACACGGCCCAGACUCCUACGGGAGGCAGCAGUGGGAAUUUUCCGCAAUGGGCGAAAGCCUGACGGAGCAAGACCGCGUGAGGGAGGAAGGCUCUUGGGUUGUAAACCUCUUUUCUCAGGGAAGAAGCUCUGACGGUACCUGAGGAAUCAGCCUCGGCUAACUCCGUGCCAGCAGCCGCGGUAAUACGGAGGAGGCAAGCGUUAUCCGGAAUUAUUGGGCGUAAAGCGUCCGCAGGUGGCGAUUCAAGUCUGCUGUCAAAGCACGGGGCUUAACUCCGUUAAGGCAGUGGAAACUGAAUAGCUAGAGUGCCGUACGGGUAGAGGGAAUUCCCGGUGUAGCGGUGAAAUGCGUAGAGAUCGGGAAGAACAUCGGUGGCGAAAGCGCUCUACUGGACGGCAACUGACACUCAGGGACGAAAGCUAGGGGAGCGAAUGGGAUUAGAUACCCCAGUAGUCCUAGCUGUAAACGAUGGAUACUAGGUGUAGCUUGUAUCGACCCGAGCUGUGCCGAAGCUAACGCGUUAAGUAUCCCGCCUGGGGAGUACGCACGCAAGUGUGAAACUCAAAGGAAUUGACGGGGGCCCGCACAAGCGGUGGAGUAUGUGGUUUAAUUCGAUGCAACGCGAAGAACCUUACCAGGGCUUGACAUGUCCGGAAUCACCGGG